This 429-nucleotide ribosomal RNA is filed under the name Actinomycetes bacterium. RNAcentral's name for it is "Actinobacteria bacterium partial 16S ribosomal RNA". It matches the Rfam family "Bacterial small subunit ribosomal RNA", at positions 355 to 776 of the family's 1533-position model. The record is from RNAcentral. Lineage: Bacteria; Bacillati; Actinomycetota; Actinomycetes.
UAGGGAAUCUUCCGCAAUGGGCGAAAGCUUGACGGAGCAACGCCGCGUGAGUGAUGAAGGUCUUCGGAUCGUAAAACUCUGUUAUUAGGGAAGAACAAAUGUGUAAGUAACUAUGCACGUCUUGACGGUACCUAAUCAGAAAGCCACGGCUAACUACGUGCCAGCAGCCGCGGUAAUACGUAGGUGGCAAGCGUUAUCCGGAAUUAUUGGGCGUAAAGCGCGCGUAGGCGGUUUUUUAAGUCUGAUGUGAAAGCCCACGGCUCAACCGUGGAGGGUCAUUGGAAACUGGAAAACUUGAGUGCAGAAGAGGAAAGUGGAAUUCCAUGUGUAGCGGUGAAAUGCGCAGAGAUAUGGAGGAACAACAGUGGCGAAGGCGACUUUAUGGUCGGUAACUGACGCUGAUGUGCGAAAGCGGGGGGAUCAAACAGG